AUAUUUUAUAAUGUUUCUCUUUAAGGUGGAGAAAGGAGAAAUCUCUUUGGAAAAUUUGGAAACCGGAAAACCCCAGGAGUUGUUAUGGGUUGGAUGAGUUUAAAUAGCAGCACUCGCUGAGAAGUGAAAGUUUGUGGAGCAGAUCAGGCAGAACAGGAGGACCAGCUCACAGUGCUGACUCACUUACUGCUGUUAUUACACUGUAACGUUGUAGUUUCCAGAAUGAUCCGGGCCCUGAUCUGGACGUGUCUUCUUCUGUGUGCGAUGGUUCAUAUCACAGUCUGUUGUAAUAAUGACAAAGAGAUUCACUGUCCUAACAUAACAGCUACUGUCGGAGAAAACGUAACACUGACCUGCAGUGUUUCAAAAAACGGCAAUUGUUCAAUGUAUAAAUGGAAGAAGAAUGAAACAAAUUUAACACUUGAAGUGAAAAAAUGCAGCUCAGUUAAUGAUAGAAAAUUUAAUUACACAAUUAAGAAUGCAUCCAUGACAGACAAUGGGACUUAUAAAUUUUGGAUACAGCUGG
Long non-coding RNA from Astyanax mexicanus (Mexican tetra), 526 nucleotides. RefSeq lists it as uncharacterized. The transcript is spliced from 4 exons. The record is from RefSeq and is a predicted model, not a curated record. NCBI's taxonomy places the organism in Eukaryota, Metazoa, Chordata, Actinopteri, Characiformes, Acestrorhamphidae.